This 274-nucleotide ribosomal RNA is filed under the name uncultured bacterium. RNAcentral describes it as "partial 16S ribosomal RNA". It matches the Rfam family "Bacterial small subunit ribosomal RNA", at positions 523 to 796 of the family's 1533-position model. The record is from RNAcentral.
AUACGGAGGUGGCUAGCGUUGUUCGGAAUUACUGGGCGUAAAGCGUACGUAGGCGGACUGAUCAGUUGGGGGUGAAAUCCCAGGGCUUAACCCUGGAACUGCCUUCAAUACUGUCAGUCUUGAGUUUGGGAGAGGUGAGUGGAAUUCCUAGUGUAGAGGUGAAAUUCAUAGAUAUUAGGAGGAACACCAGUGGAGAAGGCGGCUCACUGGCCCAUUACUGACGCUGAGGUACGAAAGCGUGGGGAGCAAACAGGAUUAGAAACCCUAGUAGUCC